UCCCUUAAAGCUACUCUCAGUUCGGAUUGUAGGCUGAAACUCGCCUACAUGAAGCUGGCGUUACUAGUAAUCGCAGAUCAGAAUGCUGCGGUGAAUGCGUUCCCGGGUCUUGUACACACCGCCCGUCACACCACGGGAGUUGGAGACGCCCGAAGCCGAUUAUCUAACCUUUUGGCAGAAGUCGUCGAAGGUGGAAUCAAUAACUGGGGGGAAGUCGUAACAAGGUAGCCGUAUCGGAAGGUGCGGCUGGAUCAC
This 255-nucleotide ribosomal RNA is filed under the name Clostridioides difficile. Its description in RNAcentral is "partial 16S ribosomal RNA". It matches the Rfam family "Bacterial small subunit ribosomal RNA", at positions 1272 to 1526 of the family's 1533-position model. The record is from RNAcentral. Lineage: Bacteria; Bacillati; Bacillota; Clostridia; Peptostreptococcales; Peptostreptococcaceae.